GGAAUAUUGGACAAUGGGCGAAAGCCUGAUCCAGCCAUGCCGCGUGUGUGAAGAAGGUCUUCGGAUUGUAAAGCACUUUAAGUUGGGAGGAAGGGCAGUUACCUAAUACGUGAUUGUCUUGACGUUACCGACAGAAUAAGCACCGGCUAACUCUGUGCCAGCAGCCGCGGUAAUACAGAGGGUGCAAGCGUUAAUCGGAAUUACUGGGCGUAAAGCGCGCGUAGGUGGUUUGUUAAGUUGAAUGUGAAAUCCCCGGGCUCAACCUGGGAACUGCAUCCAAAACUGGCAAGCUAGAGUAUGGUAGAGGGUAGUGGAAUUUCCUGUGUAGCGGUGAAAUGCGUAGAUAUAGGAAGGAACACCAGUGGCGAAGGCGACUACCUGGACUGAUACUGACACUGAGGUGCGAAAGCGUGGGGAGCAAACAGGAUUAGAUACCCCUG
RNAcentral lists this ribosomal RNA (440 nucleotides) under uncultured Pseudomonas sp. Its description in RNAcentral is "bacterial SSU rRNA". It matches the Rfam family "Bacterial small subunit ribosomal RNA", at positions 358 to 789 of the family's 1533-position model. Lineage: Bacteria; Pseudomonadati; Pseudomonadota; Gammaproteobacteria; Pseudomonadales; Pseudomonadaceae. The record is from RNAcentral.